This 394-nucleotide ribosomal RNA is filed under the name uncultured Curtobacterium sp. RNAcentral's name for it is "bacterial SSU rRNA". It matches the Rfam family "Bacterial small subunit ribosomal RNA", at positions 958 to 1354 of the family's 1533-position model. Lineage: Bacteria; Bacillati; Actinomycetota; Actinomycetes; Micrococcales; Microbacteriaceae. The record is from RNAcentral.
AACGCGAAGAACCUUACCAAGGCUUGACAUACACCGGAAACGGCCAGAGAUGGUCGCCCCCUUGUGGUCGGUGUACAGGUGGUGCAUGGUUGUCGUCAGCUCGUGUCGUGAGAUGUUGGGUUAAGUCCCGCAACGAGCGCAACCCUCGUUCUAUGUUGCCAGCGCGUUAUGGCGGGGACUCAUAGGAGACUGCCGGGGUCAACUCGGAGGAAGGUGGGGAUGACGUCAAAUCAUCAUGCCCCUUAUGUCUUGGGCUUCCGCAUGCUACAAUGGCCGGUACAAAGGGCUGCGAUACCGUAAGGUGGAGCGAAUCCCAAAAAGCCGGUCUCAGUUCGGAUUGAGGUCUGCAACUCGACCUCAUGAAGUCGGAGUCGCUAGUAAUCGCAGAUCAGCA